RNAcentral lists this ribosomal RNA (561 nucleotides) under Nonomuraea sp. 413G03. RNAcentral describes it as "bacterial SSU rRNA". It matches the Rfam family "Bacterial small subunit ribosomal RNA", at positions 93 to 671 of the family's 1533-position model. Lineage: Bacteria; Bacillati; Actinomycetota; Actinomycetes; Streptosporangiales; Streptosporangiaceae. The record is from RNAcentral.
GAGCGGCGAACGGGUGAGUAACACGUGAGCAACCUGCCCCUGACUCUGGGAUAAGCCUGGGAAACCGGGUCUAAUACCGGAUAUGACCGUCUCCGGCAUCGGGUGACGGUGGAAAGAUUUUUUGGUCGGGGAUGGGCUCGCGGCCUAUCAGCUUGUUGGUGGGGUAGUGGCCUACCAAGGCGACGACGGGUAGCCGGCCUGAGAGGGCGACCGGCCACACUGGGACUGAGACACGGCCCAGACUCCUACGGGAGGCAGCAGUGGGGAAUAUUGCGCAAUGGGCGGAAGCCUGACGCAGCGACGCCGCGUGGGGGAUGACGGCCUUCGGGUUGUAAACCUCUUUCAGCAGGGACGAAGGUGACGUGUACCUGCAGAAGAAGCGCCGGCUAACUACGUGCCAGCAGCCGCGGUAAUACGUAGGGCGCAAGCGUUGUCCGGAAUUAUUGGGCGUAAAGAGCUCGUAGGUGGCUGGUCGCGUCUGCCGUGAAAGCCCGCAGCUUAACUGCGGGUCUGCGGUGGAUACGGGCCGGNUAGAGGUAGNUAGGGGCAAGUGGAAUUCCU